RNAcentral lists this non-coding RNA (29 nucleotides) under Mus musculus (house mouse). Lineage: Eukaryota; Metazoa; Chordata; Mammalia; Rodentia; Muridae. The record is from RNAcentral.
UGCAUCUUCUAUAUCUUGUACCAGCAGUG